GACGAACGCUGGCGGCGUGCUUAACACAUGCAAGUCGAACGGAAAGGCCCUGCUUUUGUGGGGUGCUCGAGUGGCGAACGGGUGAGUAACACGUGAGUAACCUGCCCUUGACUUUGGGAUAACUUCAGGAAACUGGGGCUAAUACCGGAUAGGAGCUCCUGCUGCAUGGUGGGGGUUGGAAAGUUUCGGCGGGUGGGGAUGGACUAGCGGCUUAUCAGCUUGCUGGUGGGGGAGUGGCUUACCAAGGCUUUGACGGGUAGCCGGCCUGAGAGGGUGACCGGCCACAUUGGGACUGAGAGACGCAGCAGACUCCUACGGGAGGCAGCAGUGGGGAAUAUUGCACAAUGGGCGGAAGUCUGAUGCGGCAGCGCCGCGUGCGGGAUGACGUCCUGCGGGUUGUAAACCGCUGUCGCCUGUGACGAAGCGGGAGUGACGGUAAUGGGUAAAGAAGCACCGGCUAACUACGUG
This 468-nucleotide ribosomal RNA is filed under the name uncultured bacterium. RNAcentral describes it as "partial 16S ribosomal RNA". It matches the Rfam family "Bacterial small subunit ribosomal RNA", at positions 28 to 507 of the family's 1533-position model. The record is from RNAcentral.